Molecule: ribosomal RNA, 429 nt
Filed under: uncultured Chlamydiae bacterium
Lineage: Bacteria; Pseudomonadati; Chlamydiota; Chlamydiia
Description: bacterial SSU rRNA
Rfam family: Bacterial small subunit ribosomal RNA
Source: RNAcentral
AACGCGAAGAACCUUACCUGGACUUGACAUGCUUUUGACCGCCGUAGAAAUACGGUUUUCUCGCAAGAGACAGAAGCACAGGUGCUGCAUGGCUGUCGUCAGCUCGUGCCGUGAGGUGUUGGGUUAAGUCCCGCAACGAGCGCAACCCUUGUCGUUAGUUGCCAACGCGUAAUGGCGGGCACUCUAGCGAGACUGCCCAGGUUAACUGGGAGGAAGGUGAGGAUGACGUCAAGUCCGCAUGGCCUUUAUGUCCAGGGCUACACACGUGCUACAAUGGUCGGUACAAAAGGGAGCGAAGUCGCGAGAUGGAGCAAAUCCUCAAAGCCGGCCCCAGUUCGGAUUGGAGUCUGCAACUCGACUCCAUGAAGAUGGAAUUGCUAGUAAUGGCGGGUCAGCAACACCGCCGUGAAUCCGUUCCCGGGCCUUGUA